AUUGAACGCUGGCGGCAGGCCUAACACAUGCAAGUCGAGCGGAUGAAGGGAGCUUGCUCCUGGAUUCAGCGGCGGACGGGUGAGUAAUGCCUAGGAAUCUGCCUGGUAGUGGGGGAUACCUUCCGGAAACGGGCGCUAAUACCGCAUACGUCCUGAGGGAGAAAGUGGGGGAUCUUCGGACCUCACGCUAUCAGAUGAGCCUAGGUCGGAUUAGCUAGUUGGUGGGUUAAAGGCCUACCAAGGCGACGAUCCGUAACUGGUCUGAGAGGAUGAUCAGUCACACUGGAACUGAGACACGGUCCAGACUCCUACGGGAGGCAGCAGUGGGGAAUAUUGGACAAUGGGCGAAAGCCUGAUCCAGCCAUGCCGCGUGUGUGAAGAAGGUCUUCGGAUUGUAAAGCACUUUAAGUUGGGAGGAAGGGCAGUAAGUUAAUACCUUGCUGUUUUGACGUUACCAACAGAAUAAGCACCGGCUAACUUCGUG
RNAcentral lists this ribosomal RNA (484 nucleotides) under uncultured bacterium. RNAcentral describes it as "partial 16S ribosomal RNA". It matches the Rfam family "Bacterial small subunit ribosomal RNA", at positions 30 to 507 of the family's 1533-position model. The record is from RNAcentral.